AAAGCAGGGGACCUUCGGGCCUUGCGCUAUCAGAUGAGCCUAGGUCGGAUUAGCUAGUUGGUGAGGUAAUGGCUCACCAAGGCGACGAUCCGUAACUGGUCUGAGAGGAUGAUCAGUCACACUGGAACUGAGACACGGUCCAGACUCCUACGGGAGGCAGCAGUGGGGAAUAUUGGACAAUGGGCGAAAGCCUGAUCCAGCCAUGCCGCGUGUGUGAAGAAGGUCUUCGGAUUGUAAAGCACUUUAAGUUGGGAGGAAGGGUUGUAGAUUAAUACUCUGCAAUUUUGACGUUACCGACAGAAUAAGCACCGGCUAACUCUGUGCCAGCAGCCGCGGUAAUACAGAGGGUGCAAGCGUUAAUCGGAAUUACUGGGCGUAAAGCGCGCGUAGGUGGUUUGUUAAGUUGGAUGUGAAAUCCCCGGGCUCAACCUGGGAACUGCAUUCAAAACUGACUGACUAGAGUAUGGUAGAGGGUGGUGGAAUUUCCUGUGUAGCGGUGAAAUGCGUAGAUAUAGGAAGGAACACCAGUGGCGAAGGCGACCACCUGGACUAAUACUGACACUGAGGUGCGAAAGCGUGGGGAGCAAACAGGAUUAGAUACCCUGGUAGUCCACGCCGUAAACGAUGUCAACUAGCCGUUGGAAGCCUUGAGCUUUUAGUGGCGCAGCUAACGCAUUAAGUUGACCGCCUGGGGAGUA
Molecule: ribosomal RNA, 698 nt
Filed under: Pseudomonas reactans
Lineage: Bacteria; Pseudomonadati; Pseudomonadota; Gammaproteobacteria; Pseudomonadales; Pseudomonadaceae
Description: bacterial SSU rRNA
Rfam family: Bacterial small subunit ribosomal RNA
Source: RNAcentral